UUUGAUCAUGGCUCARGAUGAWMGCUAGCGGCAGGCUUAAUACAUGCAAGUCGAGGGGCAGCAUGACUGUAGCAAUACAGUUGAUGGCGACCGGCAAACGGGUGCGGAACACGUACAGAACCUUCCUUCGAGCGGGGAAUAGCCCAGAGAAAUUUGGAUUAAUACCCCAUAGUAUUACGGAGUGGCAUCACUUUGUAAUUAAAGAUUUAUCACUUGAAGAUGGCUGUGCGGCUGAUUAGGUAGUUGGCGGGGUAACGGCCCACCAAGCCUGCGAUCAGUAACUGGUGUGAGAGCACGACCAGUCACACGGGCACUGAGACACGGGCCCGACUCCUACGGGAGGCAGCAGUAAGGAAUAUUGGUCAAUGGACGAAAGUCUGAACCAGCCAUGCCGCGUGGAGGAUGAAGGUCCUCUGGAUUGUAAACUUCUUUUAUAUGGGACGAAAAAGGGUCUUUCUAGAUCAACUGACGGUACCAUAUGAAUAAGCACCGGCUAACUCCGUGCCAGCAGCCGCGGUAAUACGGAGGGUGCAAGCGUUAUCCGGAUUCACUGGGUUUAAAGGGUGCGUAGGUGGGUUGGUAAGUCAGUGGUGAAAUCUCCGAGCUUAACUUGGAAACUGCCAUUGAUACUAUCAGUCUUGAAUAUUGUGGAGGUUAGCGGAAUAUGUCAUGUAGCGGUGAAAUGCUUAGAUAUGACAUAGAACACCAAUUGCGAAGGCAGCUGGCUACACAUAUAUUGACACUGAGGCACGAAAGCGUGGGGAUCAAACAGGAUUAGAUACCCUGGUAGUCCACGCCCUAAACUAUGGAUACUCGACAUACGCGAUACACAGUGUGUGUCUGAGCGAAAGCAUUAAGUAUCCCACCUGGGAAGUACGACCGCAAGUUGAACUCAAAGGAAUUGGCGGGGGUC
Molecule: ribosomal RNA, 913 nt
Filed under: uncultured bacterium
Lineage: Bacteria
Description: bacterial SSU rRNA
Rfam family: Bacterial small subunit ribosomal RNA
Source: RNAcentral